UGGUGGAGUGAUUUGUCUGCUUAAUUGCGAUAACGAACGAGACCUUAACCUGCUAAAUAGCCAGGCUAGCUUUGGCUGGUCGCCGGCUUCUUAGAGGACUAUCGGCUCAAGCCGAUGGAAGUUUGAGGCAAUAACA
This 136-nucleotide ribosomal RNA is filed under the name uncultured eukaryote. RNAcentral describes it as "partial 18S ribosomal RNA". It matches the Rfam family "Eukaryotic small subunit ribosomal RNA", at positions 1299 to 1458 of the family's 1831-position model. The record is from RNAcentral.